This 325-nucleotide long non-coding RNA is filed under the name Buteo japonicus. Its description in RNAcentral is "lncRNA (ENSBJAG00000010737.1)". The record is from RNAcentral. Lineage: Eukaryota; Metazoa; Chordata; Aves; Accipitriformes; Accipitridae.
CUAGGUAGCCGCCCACCCUCCGUUGAAGACGUCCUGCAGGACAGCAGCUGCGGCGAGCACAGGAGCCUGACGCAGUCGGAGAGCGACCCUCCGGUAGACGUCUACCUGCCAGAGGAGUAAGCUGGCUCAUCCGACUUCACCAAGACGCUCCCUGGCCGCGGCACCGGCAGCCCCACGCAGCCCCUUCUCUUCGAGCAGACACGUCUUCACCUGGAGGACGAGCAGAGCCUCUCGUGAGCGGGGGCCGGACCUCCCUGCCCACGCCACCGGACCCCAGAACCCACGCACAGCCUCUUCCCCACCUCCCCAGCAGGACUGGCCCGUG